UUUAUUGUUUAUUUCUAAUUUUUCUUUAAAUUGAUUUAUCUUGUUUAAUAAUUUUUGUUCUUUAUUUUUUUCUUCUUUUUCUUUUUGUCUUUUUUCAUACAAAUCUUUUAGUAUUUGUAGUUCUUUUUCUAAUUCAGCAAUCCUACUAUUUUUAGUUUCUUCUAUUUUUCUUAUUUCUUCUGUACUUUGUUGUUUUAUUUUUUUCUAUUUCCUUUUUUCUAUCUAUUUCUUCAUUUUCUUUUUUUAUUCUUACCAUAGCUGUCAAUUUAUCUUCUAAUUUUAAUUCUUCCUUUUCUAACAUUAAAUAUAAAUGUUCACCUAUUUUUUUGUACCUUCUUCCUAGAUU
RNAcentral lists this long non-coding RNA (346 nucleotides) under Capsicum annuum. RNAcentral describes it as "long non-coding RNA (CANN_LNC018048)". Lineage: Eukaryota; Viridiplantae; Streptophyta; Magnoliopsida; Solanales; Solanaceae. The record is from RNAcentral.